AUAGGAGAUUAUAAUUAGGAAAGAAAUUUCAAGGUGCACAAAGCAUUUCGCAUUCAUGCGAGUCCAAGGAAAGGUUAACUCCUCUAGGGGUGUGAUAUAGAUCGUCUAACCUAAUGCAAGCAUUAGUAGCUGUUUCCACCGCUCGAACCUAUGACCUAUUGAUCACAUGAAAACAUUUACCACUGCUCUAAGGAUUCCCUUCAAGCAAAUUAAAGAAAUGCUAAGUCUAAGAUAUUAAUGCACUUUCAACCCAUAUAUGAGUCAUGAAAAGAUAGAAAACUGUCAGUUACCUGUAUUAGUCGAAGUGCGGACAAACCGCUAACACUAGGAUUACACAAAAAGAACUACUAAAUAGAGGCAAACAAACAUCCUUCAGUACCUUUUUCACUUCUCUAUAGUCUCGGAAUGGCCUGGUAUAAGGCAUACAGUUUACACCUUGCUGGAGGAACGGCAUACCCGAAGAAAUUGAAAGAUCGACGACAGAACGAAGAACGAAACUUUAUGACAGCAACAUAACCAAGAUUCAUUUUAUGUUGACGCGAGGUCCUCGUUUUAGAGCAAAGAAGUCAUCAUUUGCCGAUGCAGCAUCAUCAAGAUUCUCAUGUUCAAAAAACUUAGGGGGGCAGAUUUUUACAAAUAUAUUAUCUGCUCCACAUGAUUUCUAUGUGAAUCUUGAAGAUGCUGCAGCUGCAAGUAACAACAUGUAUGUCAAUAAAUACAUAAUACAACAAUGAAAUAAAAGAAAAAUGGCCAAAUUCUUGGAAUUGCAUAAAAGUCCAGGCUAAGGAUAUAUAAGCUAAGGCUAUAUAUAAAGAGAUCUCGAAUUCCUUCCCAUCUAAACCUAGAUCUAUAAGAAUUGAUGGAACUUAAAGCCAAAAGGUGUAAACUUUUGACCUUUUUACAAAAAAAAAAACUAUAUAUUAUCAAGACCAAGGCAGAAGAUCUAACUUAUGGAUUUGAGACUCUUUGUGAAAAGAUGGAUGAAAGAAAUUUAAAAAAAUAAAUAAAAUAAUUGGACCAAUCAAGGAGAAGGAAAAUAACCAUAACAUAUUUCAACAAUUGAUAUUUCAUCUACAUCAUUGAUCAAGAGAAAGAAUAAAAAUUGAUCAAGUAAAAGAACACAAGAGGAUAAUUUAUAAAAAUGAAAAUAGAGAGAAAGGAGCACUAUAUUACACACAUAGAAAAGAAUUUAGGACCUAAGAUUGAGUUACAAAUUAAUGAUUCAAGAUUUGGGAAAACAAACGACGAAACAAGAGGUGAAAGUCUGGGUGGAUGAGACUUAUUUGAGAAAAAAUAAUAUUUAAACCCUCUUAUACACCAAAAAAAUCAAACAAUUCCAAAAACCAUAAGGUUCUAAAGAUUUAAUAAAAGAAUUCAUACACAAGAGUGUGAGGAGAGGGCAAAGGAAGGGAGGAAAAGUGGAAGAAGAGAG
Molecule: long non-coding RNA, 1432 nt
Filed under: Nicotiana tabacum (common tobacco)
Lineage: Eukaryota; Viridiplantae; Streptophyta; Magnoliopsida; Solanales; Solanaceae
Description: long non-coding RNA (NTAB_LNC000391)
Rfam family: mir-172 microRNA precursor family (bases 570-697)
Source: RNAcentral